GAACUGUUCUGACAGAAUAUAGAUUGUGAAGAAGAAAUACUGCUCAAGGUUACUGUGAUCUUUUAAAUAUGCAACUAAAAACGAGACUGGAUAAGGAAAUACCUCAAGGUACAGGAAUUGAAAGGAUAAUUAUCAACUAUAUCAUUUGAUUUGGGGAAAAAAGAGGGACUGAAAACACACUUGAACAAGAGUCCAUAUACUUUGUGACCCCCAACUGGUGGAAGGACAGGGCUCAAGGCCAUCUGCCCCAGCUUCUCCCGACAUCUGCUGCCCUAACUGGCCGACCUGAGGAUCUGACUUGUCUCCUCUGUGGCACCACGAAGCGAC
This 327-nucleotide long non-coding RNA is filed under the name Gallus gallus (chicken). Lineage: Eukaryota; Metazoa; Chordata; Aves; Galliformes; Phasianidae. The record is from RNAcentral.